GCGUUCCUGUUAAAGUGAAUAUAAAUAUAACAUUUAGUACGACUGGCAUCAUUGCUGUGGGAUGUGGAGGAGCACUAUUUGCUAUGCUCAUCAUUACAUGUAUAUAUAUGUGUGUGAAAAGAAGAACAAAUACUAAUAUGUUACUGUAUGUAUCCUUAAAAUAAUACCAUGGACGCAGUACAAAUAAGUUAGCUUAAGAAUGACCUAGCAUAAUAUGACCAAAAUGAAAACUAAUAUUUCAUUCCACAAAAUUCGUUAGUAGACAGAAACGAACAAAUAAGGCUACUCUAUGAACGUAACACGGUGUAGUUUGAGGCAAACUCUUAGUAGGAGAUAUUCAGAUUUUGAUUUGUACUACAAUUUAUUGAUCGGUCAAAUGACCCUCAUCCUCUUAUCAUUUUUCAGUUUGUUGGUCUAAAUAUUUUUUGUGUAUCACUGCUGUAUGUUUUGGUUUCAUUAUUUUGUUUUGUUACUUUGUCUUAGUAAUGUGUAUCCCGUGACACCUUUUAUUCACAUUCCAAAAACACCUGUUUUAUUCUGUAUGGAAUAGUAGUACUUGAGCAAAGAGAUUUUUUGUGGAAAAUAUGUUUUAUCAGAGAAAUUUGUAAUAGGUGUUAUGAUUAAGGAUACAUCAUAUAAGUAUUUGUACGGUCGGACACACAAAUACAGUUUUUCAUGUAUUUAACAUAUCUAGAAUAAAGUAAUGCCAUAAUAUAUAUAUAUUUUGUUUCCAGAAAAUCAUUAUUUAAAGUCAGCAUCUCAUUCUAUUAUAUAAAGUAGAUACAACAUGUUCUUUGUAACAUUUUAGUUGUUAUGUCCAAAACAAUUAUGAAUUUCUUAAAGUGAAAUUUUUAGACAUAUUUUUGAUAGGCGAAUUACGUCAAUGAGACAGCAAUCAAACUGUAAAAAGAUAAAUAGUACUUUAGAGGUCAAUAAACGGUCUUAUAGCAAAGACUUCGUCAGAAGUUGCCUUUGGUCAAUAUCCAUUUCUGACCAUAUCAUUUACGAAUAAGUUAGUAAUGGAGAUCAAAACCCUUUUAUACCAGAUAGUUUCUGUUAUAUGUAUAUCCUUAUACCUCUGCGAUUCAUUUCCUUUCAUUUAUUGCCUUCAUGUGAGUCCCCAAUAAUAUCAUCAGUUCGGUAGUCAUAGACUCUGUACUGAUUUUCAACAAAUCAUUUUUAUGUUCUUCGUUAAUACAUUUACUAUUUUUUUAACCUAAGGUUCAGGCAAAAAUGGAUAAUCAAUUUUUUACAUACUUUAUGUCAUUCAGCUCUUCACGUUUUAAGGUACUUAAGCAUCAAUAUUAAAUAUUUGAUUCUGAGCGCACCCGAUGCUGAAAUUAAAUUCAGAAGAGGGCUGCGAACGAUCCAAAUUGAUUAAGUGAAUUAUUUUCCAUAUUCUGCAUCUUCGUUUAUUCGUACUUCCAUAUUUAUUAUGAACAACAACAGUCUGACAGAAAAUGGUAUAUCAUAUUACGUUCACAUUAGGAAAUAAAAUACUGUGUUGUUUUUUUCUUCUCCUUUAACAGUGCCAGUCAUAGAAGUGUUUCGAUUAGGACAAAUUUGACACCGUUGUUAAAUGAAUUGAUGAGAGAUAGUUUACAAGAUGACGUCAGGAUAAAUUGGCAGAAAUUCCUCAAUUUGUUCCAGCAUAAAAUUGACGUUCUUCCUGACUGGGAAGAUUUCAUUAGAACUUUGUUUACUCUUUCAGAAAAGGCGGAAAACGGACAGCAAGCUGUAAAUGAAGCCAAAGUUUCACACGAGCAGGAUCAAUAUCAUUCACGACUUUAUUACGCACUUAUAAAAUGGACACACUGCUUCAGCAACGACAACGAUGUGGAAAUGUUUAACAUUCUAUGUGAUGCAGUAAAUAAGCAUAAAAUGUGUCCAGUGGCAAUUUAAUGAAGCAAAAAGUGUAUUCCUGUAACAUAUUAAGCUUCAAAAGUUGAAUUGUAUUCAAAGGCAUCGAUAGGAUAUGUUCGUCUCCAUUAUAAAUGGAUUAUUGAUGUAUAUAGCUAAUUGUCGAACAGACUAACUUAACUGAAUGCGCUGUAUAAAUGAAUUAUAAAAAACGUUUUUAUCAAGUCAAUCUUUAAUGUUUACGUACAAUAUAUUCAAUGAUGACUUAUGUAUAAAACACAUGUGUCAAAGGUCAUUCAAAAACGUCAAUUCGAAGAAAGACAGACACCAGUUUCGUGAUGAUUAAAAGUUCGAAUUUAUUUUACUUCGUUUUUAUAACCCAAUCUUUCGAUGGUAUGCAAUUAAUUCAGAAAUGCAAAUUUGGACACUUUCAGUAAAGGAAAUAAUUUAUAGUUUGGUAUAAUCCAACGUUAUUGUGAUUUUUAAUGGUGACUCUAUUGUUAUACAAAACAUAUAAAAUUUCAAAAUUAAUAGCACUAAUCGAUGUACCUCACCAAUCAAGAUACCCUGAGACCAUCCUGGUAUAUUUUCUCGCUCGUGGUUGGAAUGUAUUGUAUUAUAUAACAGGUGUUUGCCUUUAUUUACCAUGGUGUUGUUUGUCUUUCUUUACCUUUUAUAUAUUUUUUUUUUGGCAUCUUGGUAUUUUCUUACUGUUUUUGAUCUUUUCCUAAAUAUUAAUACAGUUAAACAUGGCGACCCAGCUACAUUAUGAUUAUAUUUCAUGAAAAGACAAUUCAAUGAAUAAAUUAUUUCAAUCAACAUUUACGUUAGACUUAAAGCCUGGUAUCCAUAAUGAUUUCACUAAAUAACCACUAGCAUGUAUUUAUAGGAUAUUUCAUCGUCAAAUAGCUUGUAAUUAAUUCACAAUUGUCAUCACUUUUAGAAGUAAACGGUAAGAGGAAAUUAAAAUCAAAAGAAGCAGAGUUUAAGUUCUUAGAAGGAGAUUUUUUUAUACUUAACUGGAUAAAAAUGUGUCCCAUUUUACUUGUUAGAGAAAUUAUCUAUAUAGACUCCAAAUCGUUAUUUGUUUUGCAUAUUGUAUGUAAAUUAAAAAAAAAAACAGCGUACAUCUACAGGUAUUAGAAUUAUGUUUUUGCAAUUCUGAAAAUAUAUACACUUAAAGUAAAUGCACAUGUAAGCUUCAGUUGUCAUUUGAUACCCAAUAAUGUAUGAUAAAGUUUUUCAUCCCUUUUCUGUCGAUUUUGCUCCUUUUAAAAAAAUCAUUUUAAACGGAUAUUGACGCAAUUUUUUUCAGAUGUCUGCUGUUUUAUUAUAUAUUUAAUAGUUGUGGCAUCAACAAACUAGAAUGAAAACAGACAAUGACGAAAACGUAAGCAAUUUUUAAAUAACAUUGAAUAAUUAUGUUAUUUCAAUAUAUACAUCAUUUAUAAGCCGUAACAGAUAUAAAUGUACGAUUUUGUUAUUCUAACGAGAUGUUUUUUGUUGCUAAUUUGGUGUUUGGUUGUUUGUUUAUUUGUUAAGUUGAUAUGUUUGUUUUAAUUUUCAGAAUUAAUUUUUAGUUUGUUAAAUUAGUUAGUUUUCAAAAACAAGAAGUGGGUACUAUGACUGCAGUAUUAAUGGUUGUCUGAUGAUUUUCUGCAAUCAAAUUGUUUACAUUUUGUUCUGAGCAUUCCACAAAAUCAUGUAUUUAUUACUAUUCAUGACGUUGUUGUACGAUAUUAGUACAUCAGCCGAUAUAAGAGGACGACACGAUUUUAUAUGAGCAGGUUCAGUACGUUGUUAUUGCCUUAGAAACUGCAAUCAGUCAAUGAUACAAUAUAUAGUGCUGAUUUUUUUUAAACAUUUUUGUUUUGUAUCUAUUAUACCAUUAUUUUAUGCGUUAUAUGAUUUUCCUGUACUGAUUUAUAGUCCAUGUUCUUUUUUCGAGUGAUCUAAAACAAAAACGUCCACAUAUUUAUAUGACUGUCCAAAACCAGAACUUUGUCAGUGGUUGUCUGAAGACAUAUCUUUAUGUUUAGUUGCUAUUUUUGUUUUAUUGAAAAUUUGGAGUUUCUGACAGAUAUUUCAUUAGUUUCUGUUUAAUUUAUUUACAACCUUUUAGACUUUGGUCUAUGUAGAACUUGCCAAAAUGUACAAGUAUUAUAGAUACUGUGUUGAAAACUGCAUGUUACCUUAAUGAUGUAUGUUGUUAUUUGUUUCAUUCGGAUAAAAACCCAAAAUAAAGUAUAUUCCACAUGAGUUGUUUUCAUACUCAAUCAAAUGGAACAUGUUGUUGAUGCAAUUAUUGCUCAUAAGCAAUGGACAAUAAUAAAUAUGAAAUUCGACUCAUUACGCAUACUUGUUAGACAUCAAUCAAAUGUUAGUCAUUGCAAAAUAUACAAUCAUUAUGAACAAAAGUAAUAAAAAACACGUAUCCACACAAAAAUUCGAGCUCCUAAUCGUCCAUCAUCUAUAAAACCUUAUAAUUUAACAGAAACAAUCAAACAUCGGCCAUAAAUGUCCACUUCUUUAAAUAUAAAAAAGACAUGACACCGAUGACUACUGACGAAAUUCCUGACUUAGUUUUUAGAGAUCGCAACCCUCCCCCUAUUUUGUUAUACAUUUACGGCCAGAAAUCACCUUUAAAUUGUAGCCAACAAAAGACAAAAAUCAAUAAUAAAAUUUUACAGGAAACCAAAUACAAAUAGAAAUGUCAACUAAACUGUUAAAUAUCUGAAUUUCCUAUACUAUAGUCUUUUUUUGCCGGAUUUCUUCUCUUAACUGUAACGGAAACCAACGAAAUAUUUAUUUGUCCAAUAAGUUCACAAACUAGUAUGAUGUUGUUGACGUACAUAAAAGUGUCAAUCCAACAACUCCAGAUAUCUUCUUAGAAUACUUGUAUGUUUCUGUAUAUGUCUGUAUAUAUCUAACUUUGGUGUCUGUAUAUAUACCACGGAAACUUCUAGAAAACUGUAGAAGAGAAACUUUCAGAACAUUGUGAAGUUUAAAUCACGCAUCGUAGACUAUGAUCAUUCUGGAAAUAUUAUGCAAGUCAAAUAGAAAGUUCUAAUCAUUCCAUCAGUAUCUACGAUUGCUCCAGUGAUUUCUAAACUGCAUAAUUAUAACAUAAUUUUGUAAACAACUAUAAAUAGGUCACAACCCAAUUAUGUAAACAUAUUAUAAGGACACAUAAAACAAAAUAGGCCCAAGAUAAAUAAUCAUAAUAAUUACAAUCUCAUAACAAUACUGUUUUAUCAAAUAUUUAAACUAGUUUGAUUCUUAACAAUUUUAAACCAGGUUCAACCCACCAUUUUUUC
Mytilus californianus (California mussel) is the source of this 5177-nucleotide long non-coding RNA. RefSeq lists it as uncharacterized. The record is from RefSeq and is a predicted model, not a curated record. NCBI's taxonomy places the organism in Eukaryota, Metazoa, Mollusca, Bivalvia, Mytilida, Mytilidae. The transcript has 4 exons.